Molecule: ribosomal RNA, 274 nt
Filed under: uncultured bacterium
Lineage: Bacteria
Description: partial 16S ribosomal RNA
Rfam family: Bacterial small subunit ribosomal RNA
Source: RNAcentral
AUACGGAGGGUCCAAGCGUUAUCCGGAAUCAUUGGGUUUAAAGGGUCCGUAGGCGGGCAAUUAAGUCAGGGGUGAAAUCCCACAGCUCAACUGUGGCACUGCCUUUGAUACUGGUUAUCUUGAGUUAUAGGGAAGUAGAUAGAAUAUGUAGUGUAGCGGUGAAAUGCAUAGAUAUUACAUAGAAUACCGAUUGCGAAGGCAGUCUACUAUCUGUAUACUGACGCUAAGGGACGAAAGCGUGGGGAGCGAACAGGAUUAGAAACCCUAGUAGUCC